GGAGGUCUAGAAGGAGUCAUAGUACCACUUAUCAGGAGGUCUAGAAGGAGUCAUAGUACCACUUAUCAGGAGGUCUAAAAAGAGUCAUAGUACCACUUAUCAGGAGGUCUAAAAGGAGUCAUAGUACCUGUCUUGUCAAAGUCUGAGGAUGAACCAGAAUCCUGUAUGACCAGAUGAAGAACAGGAACAUUCCAGCAGGAGAACAUCCAGAGAACAACAUCAGACCAGAGCUUCUCCACUAGAACCAAGUGGAACCAGGACCUGGACAGUGUGAGUCCUGAAGCCAGCAGAACCUUUGAGGUGCUCUCCAGAGAAAGGUAGAGCAACAGAACCCCUCCAGCACAGAGCAGCUGAAGAACACAGAGAAGAUGUGAGCAGAGAUGAGUGGACUCUGGUUUCCUCCAUGAGGAGGACUGAAGGAAGAACCAAAGAACCCGAGGAACCCUGGACUCACUGAUGAGGAAGUUAAGAUCAGCUGAUGUUUGUUUUCUGUUUAAGGAAGUAAAACCAGUUUAACUUUAGCAGGAAUUUUAUUCUGAAAGUCCCUGAGAACCAGUUUAACCACUAAGAUUACAUUCACACACACAGACACGAACAGAAGACACAAACUGAGACGUCAGCCCUGAUCGAUCAGUAACUGAUCAAUAUCUGAUCAGAAGUUAAACAAGAUGAACUCUGAGCGCCACCCGCUGGACGCUACACGUCCUGCAGCUCAACCCACUGAAGGGUUCAACGACAAGAAAAAUCCUUUAAGACACCGAGAGAACACUAACCUGUCCCAGACUAACCACAAACAUCCAUCAUUAUUGCUAUUAUUCUUCAUAAUUUAAUUAUUAUUCUUAAAAUUAUUAUUAUUAUUAUUAUUAUUAUUAUUAUUAUUAUUAUUAUUAUUAUUAUUAUUAUUAUUAUUAUUAUUAUUAAUAAUAAUAAUA
Molecule: long non-coding RNA, 932 nt
Organism: Amphiprion ocellaris (clown anemonefish)
Lineage: Eukaryota; Metazoa; Chordata; Actinopteri; Pomacentridae
Source: Ensembl